This 253-nucleotide ribosomal RNA is filed under the name uncultured bacterium. RNAcentral's name for it is "partial 16S ribosomal RNA". It matches the Rfam family "Bacterial small subunit ribosomal RNA", at positions 524 to 776 of the family's 1533-position model. The record is from RNAcentral.
UACGAAGGGGGCUAGCGUUGUUCGGAAUCACUGGGCGUAAAGCGCACGUAGCCGGACCGAUAAGUUGGGGGUGAAAGCCCAGGGCUCAACCAUGGAAAUGCCUCCAAUACUGUCGGUCUCGAGUUCGGGAGAGGUGAGUGGAAUUCCUAGUGUAGAGGUGAAAUUCGUAGAUAUUAGGAAGAACACCAGUGGCGAAGGCGGCUCACUGGCCCGAUACUGACGCUGAGGUGCGAAAGCGUGGGGAGCAAACAGG